Solanum lycopersicum (tomato) is the source of this 1831-nucleotide long non-coding RNA. RefSeq lists it as uncharacterized. NCBI's taxonomy places the organism in Eukaryota, Viridiplantae, Streptophyta, Magnoliopsida, Solanales, Solanaceae. The record is from RefSeq and is a predicted model, not a curated record.
CUUAAUGUAGCGGUAUGAGAGGUUUGGUUGUUCAUGGAUUCAAGAAAUGUUAAGGAAGCCUGAAGAUGUAUUAGGGAGAAGUUAUUAGAUAGGACAUGGCACGAUUGCAGAUUACCGAGGACAUGACUUUAGACAUGAAGGUGUGAAGGACAGAGAUUAGGAUAGAAGGCUAGUGGUUAGGAAUGUUUUCAUACUAUUAGCUACGAGUUUAUUGUCUGUCGUCAAUUCUUCAAGCUACAUUAUUACUCGUGUUUCUUGUUCUUCAAUUUUUGUUAUUUUCAUGUAGUUUGAUCAUAGUUGUAGUAUUGUUCUACUACAAUUUGUUGAUUAAUACUAGAUUUUUAUUUUAUUUCCAAUACUUCUUUUUUAGACUAUUUUUGUUUUGAGUGAGGGUCUAUUAGAAACAACUAUUCUUCCUUUAAGGUAAAGAUAUGUCAGCAUAAAUAAUAACCUCCAAAGACCACAUUGUGUGGGACUACAGUAGAUUUUUUUGUUCAUUUUUGUAGUUGAUUGUUAAUUUGAUUGUCAUUUUAGAUAAUUAAAAUGCUAUUAUGUGACGUGGAACUUUGAUCUUUUGUGCAUUUGUUGUGUUGGUGUUUUAUCCUGACUUUUUUUAAAACUUUAAUAUGGUUGCUGUAAUGAACAUUUUAUUAAAUAACAUGAAAGUUUCCAAAAAACUAAAAUGUAACACAAUCCAAAGCAAAGAAAAGGAUCGUCCCAAAGUGACCGGCCCAUCAACAAAUAAUUUCAACACAAGCUGGAUACGUCACUUCUCCAUCUUCAUCAAUUCCUUUAUUUGCCAGAAAAGGAAACCAAAGUUUCCUUUCAAUUCCUUACAUCACCACUAAAAUCCUUAUUGUUUAAAUUGUUAUUCAUAUGAUUUUGUUCCACCACAGUGCAGAUUUCAAUCUCCAUGUUCAAAUUCAUUUCUCUAUGAAUUUAAUAUGGGUCAAGAAUGAAUUUCGUCAGUUUUAGAAGUUGGGAAUUAUUAUGCUAGGUUUAAGGAGAAAGGAGAAGAGAAGAAGAAGAAGAAGAAGAAGAAGAAGAAGGGCAAGAUUCGCCAAAAUCAUCAAAUCAACUCGUGCAUUUCGUUGGGGGUGAUCCCUAAAACGGAUGCUUUAAUGUCGGAUGUACGAUUGGGAGAGUCUUCUACUUCGCUUAAGCACUUACUAGACAAUCUUACCAUUGCUAUUCGUAAAGGUGCUAGAACUAUUGCCCAUUAAAUUCCGUUUUGUCCUUAUUUUUGAGUUAUUAUCGUCUGUCACAAUUGUAUUAUUCCUUCAUUACUAGCUUAUCAACAAUCAAAGUUCCCAAGACUUUGGCAGAAGAAUUGGUUUAUCCAGGUUGGAAUCAGACUAUGAUUUUUGAGAUGACUACAUUGCAUGGUAAUAGUAAUGUUGAGCUUAUUUCCUUACCAGAAGGAAAAACAACAAUUGGUUGUCAUUGGAUAUUCUUUGUUAUGAUACAUUAUAUGAAGCUAUUGAUCUUUUCAAAGCGAGCUUGAUUGCUAACAGACACAGAUAUAUGACAUUGAUUAUGAAAUUUUUUUAAUUGUUCCUAUGAUGGCAUUCGUCCAUAUUCUUAAUGGACCCCUUUUUUCAAAUGAACAUAAAAAAUGUAUUUCUACAUUGAGAACUUAUUGAAGAGGUAUAUAUGGAGAAACCAACAGGAUUUGUUGCUGAGGACAACAUAGACUAGUUUGUAAACUUCGUCAAUAUCUCUAUGGUCUCAAGUCAUCUCACAGAGCAUGGUUUGUUCAUUUCUAUCUAUUAUCCAACAAUGUGGAAUGAUCCGAAUAUAAGCUAAUCACUAUAUAUUCUAUAGGCAUUAA